RNAcentral lists this ribosomal RNA (782 nucleotides) under uncultured Mycobacterium sp. RNAcentral describes it as "bacterial SSU rRNA". It matches the Rfam family "Bacterial small subunit ribosomal RNA", at positions 555 to 1335 of the family's 1533-position model. Lineage: Bacteria; Bacillati; Actinomycetota; Actinomycetes; Mycobacteriales; Mycobacteriaceae. The record is from RNAcentral.
UGGGCGUAAAGAGCUCGUAGGUGGUUUGUCGCGUUGUUCGCGAAAUCUCACGGCUUAACUGUGAGCGUGCGGGCGAUACGGGCAGACUAGAGUACUGCAGGGGAGACUGGAAUUCCUGGUGUAGCAGUGGAAUGCGCAGAUAUCAGGAGGAACACCGGUGGCGAAGGCGGGUCUCUGGGCAGUAACUGACGCUGAGGAGCGAAAGCGUGGGGAGCGAACAGGAUUAGAUACCCUGGUAGUCCACGCCGUAAACGGUGGGUACUAGGUGUGGGUUUCCUUCCUUGGGAUCCGUGCCGUAGCUAACGCAUUAAGUACCCCGCCUGGGGAGUACGGCCGCAAGGCUAAAACUCAAAGGAAUUGACGGGGGCCCGCACAAGCGGCGGAGCAUGUGGAUUAAUUCGAUGCAACGCGAAGAACCUUACCUGGGUUUGACAUGCACAGGACGCGUCUAGAGAUAGGCGUUCCCUUGUGGCCUGUGUGCAGGUGGUGCAUGGCUGCCGUCAGCUCGUGUCGUGAGAUGUUGGGUUAAGUCCCGCAACGAGCGCAACCCUUGUCUCAUGUUGCCAGCGGGUAAUGCCGGGGACUCGUGAGAGACUGCCGGGGUCAACUCGGAGGAAGGUGGGGAUGAGGUCAAGUCAUCAUGCCCCUUAUGUCCAGGGCUUCACACAUGCUACAAUGGCCGGUACAAAGGGCUGCGAUGCCAUAAGGUUAAGCGAAUCCUUUUAAAGCCGGUCUCAGUUCGGAUUGGGGUCUGCAACUCGACCCCAUGAAGUCGGAGUCGC